GCACAUGCGCUUUACAGGCUGUUGUGUCCAUGUGUAGGCGAAUCACGUGGGGAGAAUCCGUUGAUCGUCUUGUCCCUGCUGUAGGAGUUGCUCCGUUCUUGAUUUCAUUUUGGUUGCUACCUCGCUUUGUUUUUAAACACUCCCCCCCUCAUACAUUUCACCGAAGAAUGAGCGACAACGAAGAUAUCGAUGUUGACAGUGACGCUGACAAACGAGCACAUCACAAUGCGCUGGAGCGCAAACGUAGGGACCACAUUAAAGACAGCUUCAGCAGUUUACGGGACUCUGUGCCUGUGUUACAAGGGGAGAAGCAAUCUGUCAAACAGGCUUCCCGAGCUCAGAUCCUAGACAAAGCCACAGACUACAUCCAGUACAUGAGACGAAAAAACCACACACACCAGCAGGACAUUGACGACCUGAAGAAGCAGAAUGCAAUGCUAGAGCAGCAGGGUGAGUGUGGGCUCAAGGCCCAGGGACAACUGCAGGUGCAGGAGGUCCGUGCACUGGAGAAGGCCAAAGGGAACACUACUCUCCAGGCCAACUACUCUUCCUCUGACAGCAGCUGGUACACCAACCCCAAGGGGAGCACAGUGUCUGCCUUCGACGGAGGCUCCGACUCCAGCUCUGAAUCAGAGACAGAGGAGCCGGCCAAUAGAAAGAAGCUGCGUGUGGAGCCCAUCUAGACUCCAUCCACAGUGUUAUCACCAGAGAGACUCUUAUCCACCAGCCCCCUCCUGUUGAGUCUGUUUCCAUUCUUCUCAUGCCAGUCCAGGAGACAGAGGGAAGACCAUGUGAGAAAGUGUAUUGUCACGCCUCAUGGUGCACCAACAGCUCUCAACACCCCCAAAGUGAGACAGCUCUGCAGUUUGAAGGACUUGAUGCUUUUAAAACAUCAUUGUUCAGAAUCGGAUAUAAAGGUGAGCUGGUGAACAGCUUUAGUCUAGCUACAACAAAUACUCCCAUCUCUCGCUUUGAAUCACCUCAAUGAACCUGUUCGAAGAGUUGAGACUUACACAGACCUUUGAGAAAAUGUCCGUAGGAAUAGUUUACCUUUUUAAUAUUUGUACUUUUCCACAAAAUAAUGCGAAGUUGCUUUGAAAAAAAAAUGUAUCUAAUGCAAUCUUCUGGAAUCAAGGUGGAUGGCUGAAGUCUUUAAAUAUAGGGAUUUGAAUACACAUAUUUCAAAGUGAUAUGUUGAAAUUGAUUUCUUAUUCCAUAUUGUACAUUUUUGUUCAACUUUACCACUUGUCAAUGGAGAUGUUCAUCCUCCAUCAGUGUUGGCAUCAUUUAAUAUAUUCUCACCUCACAGGUUCAGCAAUGUUUUUAUUUUGUUAUUCUCAAGAAAAUGGAGAUUACAUUUUUAUUUUUUCGAAAUGGAUAAAUACUUAAUGUUACACAAUGCAGUUAAAAGGUAGUAACCUUUUUAUUUGUAUUAAAGGAAAAGGCCAUAUCAGUGUAGUGAAUAUUACUGUAUACUUGUAAAUGUUGUCCAUUCUACAAAGAAAAACCCCUCAAAAUAUUUGUCUGUCCAGGGAAUGUUUGUCAUUUAGAUUUUUUAUUUUACAGAUAAUUAGUGUGUAAGAAUCUAGAUUUUUUUAUUUUAUUGAUAUUACAGGUGUUGUAAGUACUGCCAACAAUUUUUGGAAGUUGAGGCAUACCUUUGCUGAGGAACUAUUAUAAAUAAAACUAUUUUAUCCAG
RNA transcript from Oncorhynchus tshawytscha (Chinook salmon), 1699 nucleotides. It is a transcript of the gene named protein max, with no coding region annotated. The record is from RefSeq and is a predicted model, not a curated record. The transcript is spliced from 5 exons. Lineage: Eukaryota; Metazoa; Chordata; Actinopteri; Salmoniformes; Salmonidae.